GGGUUGUGAGGUUAAGCGACUAAGCGUACACGGUGGAUGCCCUGGCAGUCAGAGGCGAUGAAGGGCGUGCUAAUCUGCGAUAAGCGCCGGUAAGGUGAUAUGAACCGUUAUAACCGGCGAUACCCGAAUGGGGAAACCCAGUGUGACUCGUCACACUAUCAUUAACUGAAUCCAUAGGUUAAUGAGGCGAACCGGGGGAACUGAAACAUCUAAGUACCCCGAGGAAAAGAAAUCAACCGAGAUUCCCCCAGUAGCGGCGAGCGAACGGGGAGGAGCCCAGAGCCUGAAUCAGCAUGUGUGUUAGUGGAAGCGUCUGGAAAGGCGCGCGAUACAGGGUGACAGCCCCGUACACAAAAGCGCAUGUGCUGUGAGCUCGAUGAGUAGGGCGGGACACGUGGUAUCCUGUCUGAAUAUGGGGGGACCAUCCUCCAAGGCUAAAUACUCCUGACUGACCGAUAGUGAACCAGUACCGUGAGGGAAAGGCGAAAAGAACCCCGGCGAGGGGAGUGAAAAAGAACCUGAAACCGUGUACGUACAAGCAGUGGGAGCACCCUUUGGGGUGUGACUGCGUACCUUUUGUAUAAUGGGUCAGCGACUUAUAUUCUGUAGCAAGGUUAACCGAAUAGGGGAGCCGGAGGGAAACCGAGU
Molecule: ribosomal RNA, 648 nt
Filed under: Salmonella enterica subsp. enterica serovar Bovismorbificans
Lineage: Bacteria; Pseudomonadati; Pseudomonadota; Gammaproteobacteria; Enterobacterales; Enterobacteriaceae
Description: partial 23S ribosomal RNA
Rfam family: Bacterial large subunit ribosomal RNA
Source: RNAcentral